Pomacea canaliculata is the source of this 617-nucleotide long non-coding RNA. RefSeq lists it as uncharacterized. The transcript is spliced from 3 exons. The record is from RefSeq and is a predicted model, not a curated record. Lineage: Eukaryota; Metazoa; Mollusca; Gastropoda; Architaenioglossa; Ampullariidae.
GAAAACGAUGGUUGCUGUCGGACUUCUUGCAAAAUGACAAGUAUGGACAGCAACAGAGAGGUGAGAUCAACAUCAUGGUGAAGCACAUCCAUCUCACCAAUAAAGUAGCCAGGGUCUUCAGAAUCCAGCAGAGAUAAAGCAAGAAACAGAAGACCGACCCAUUAAUUUAUUGUGGAGAGGUCUGUCAAAGGCCUCAAGCUGCUUCCGUCGGGAACGAGAGUUGGCGUGCCCUAUACACGGGCCGAGUUCCCGCGGCUUGGCCUGACAUCAGACUCAUUAGGUUCCGAGCUUUAUUGUCGAGACGACCAAAAGAGAGAAACAUUUCCAAGGUAAAGAACGCAACCUACUGUGGAGAGAAAAAUAAUAAUUCCGCAGGUAAAUGGAUUCUUCGCUGACGGGAAGGUCAUAGAUGUUAAGUGGAACUCAAAAUGUUUAUACCCGUGUUUCUCUCAGCAGAUCUAAACAGACCAGCAGAGACAAACAGGCACACACGCCAUUGUGGAUAAAAUGUGUCCAAGUGCGCGGAGACCACCGCUCACACACGCACACAGCCCCACACGCACGUGUUCCGCGACUCCUGCAGUUUAAUGGGGUGGGGGAAGGGAUGAGAGAAACCA